CUUCUCUUUUGUGCAUUAUUGUUUUGCUUAUUGUUUAAAAUGCAGUAGUCCUUGGAGGUUCCAGUGACCAUAAGGGCUGAUUCUGUAAAUAGAAGGUAAGAGAUAGUCUUCUCUUGAAAGGUCCUGCAGUGGAAAAAAACAGGCUCAGGAAAGGAUAGAAGUGCCUAAGACACACGAUGAUUUGCAAAUCUGUUGUUUAAAAAUUAAUUUUUUUUAGUUAUUCCAGCUUUUAUCCACUGAUGUAUUGGUUAGAAUUUCAUUUACUGUAUCUCAGACAGUAUAUCAAAUGUAAGCUAGAGUAAUGGUGGGUAUGAAAGGAAAAAGAAAAGACAUGAGGGACGACGGUGAACUGAAUGAACUUUCUCUUCAGUCAGACAGGUGAGCUUGUUCAGGAAUAGAAGGAAAAAGUCAACUAAGUAAAGAGCAUAUUUUCACAACCAUGUCAAUUCCUGAAGAUCCCUGAGAAAAUAUUUAGUGCUAGAACCAAUCCUCAGUACAGUUGUAACACAGAUUUUUCUUUCUAUUGUGCAACUCCUUGAGACGGGAAGAGUAGAAUAAUGCCUAAUUCUAUCAUUAGCCUUCCCUAUACAGCUUCAGUGAGUGAAGGAGAGAGAGACUACUGUUUUAGAUCACUUUAUUCCCUCCUGACCACAUCUGUGGAAUUUUCCAAGGUCUAAUUGAAAACCCUAGGAAAUGAAGUCAGAUGGAUUUUAGUGUUGUAGAUGUGUGUGCUUUUGAUGGGAAUCUCCUGAUCACUCUCACUAUUCACGUUGUGGUUCUUGCUGCAGAGUCAUCCUGGAGUGCAUGAACCUGAUGUUUUUUGAAUGAAAUGAAACCAGCAGAUGCACUCCAAAAGCAAGCCCCAUGACUUGCUGCUGCCAAUGAGAUGUCAGACCACAGGACAGCCAAAAACUAGAGUAUCCUGUCUGCGCCAUCCUUGAAACCAACAGAUAAAACUUAUGAAUGACCUGGAAAAAAUGUAAGCUUACUCAGUUAUACAAGGUAGCAUCCAAAUAGUCCAGGAUGGAUUUCACCUUAGGAAGAUCAAGAAGUGAAUGACCUGCUCAAGAAAAAGAUCAAGUCACCUGGCUUUUGUUGUUCUAAAGAAAGGAUGAAGCAUCAGGAGCUGUGUGAGUGGCUUUACAGUGGACAGUGUAUUGUUUUCUUCAGUUGCCAUGGUUCUAUCAACAGAGUAUUAUCUCCUCAGUAAGAAUGUUUUUUGCACUUCUGCACUUAAGAUCCAGAAUUAUCAAUUUUGUAGCAAGGAAGCCAUGUAAAUGAGGCCUCCUAAGAAAUAAAAAAAUCAGAUUCCACUGACAAUAUAUAGGUAUUUUUAAAACAGCUUGAACUUGAACAUUAGAACUGGUUAGAAGACAAGCCUGGGGAGGUCUUAAUAGAGAUUUACUAGCAAUUUUGGAAAUAUUUAGGUAUAGUGCAUUAGCUCUACUAAACUAUAAUCUGAAUGACCAGGUUUGUACAGACACUACCAAUAUUCCAAAGAGGAACAUUUUGCCAUCUUCUGUCUCUCUGCACUGGUGCUAAGAUCUCAGUGAUAAUUGCAUGAAUAGUACCAGCUACUCUGCAGCCUCCCAACAUUACAAGUGUCAUUUUGACUAAAACAAGUAUAAGUGCAUUGCAUGAUUCAGCCCAUUUUAUAUUCAUUUCACAGAAAACCUGUAACUUAAGU
Molecule: long non-coding RNA, 1687 nt
Organism: Corapipo altera (White-ruffed manakin)
Lineage: Eukaryota; Metazoa; Chordata; Aves; Passeriformes; Pipridae
Exons: 3
Source: RefSeq, a predicted model, not a curated record